UUUUCUUAGUUUAGUGAUAACCUCAGGCUCUGAUCUCAUCAGAUCUCACAAGGUAAAUAGGGUCAGGCCAGGUCAGUAUUCAGAUGGGAAACUUCCAAGAAAACUUGAAUGUUUGGAAGAA
This is a ribosomal RNA of Calidris pygmaea (Spoon-billed sandpiper), 121 nucleotides long. NCBI's taxonomy places the organism in Eukaryota, Metazoa, Chordata, Aves, Charadriiformes, Scolopacidae. The record is from Ensembl.